AAUCUUCACAAUGCGCGCAAGCGUGAUGAGGGAAUCCCAGGUGCCCUUGCACUGCAAGGGCUUUUGUGGAGUGUAAAAAGCUCUACGAAUAAGGGCUGGGCAAGACCAGUGCCAGCCUCCGCGGUAACACUGGCACCUGACUGGAACGGGCUCGACGGUGAGGGAUGAAAGCUAGGGGAGCAAACCGGAUUAGAUACCCGGGUA
This 204-nucleotide ribosomal RNA is filed under the name uncultured archaeon. RNAcentral's name for it is "partial 16S ribosomal RNA". It matches the Rfam family "Archaeal small subunit ribosomal RNA", at positions 345 to 743 of the family's 1478-position model. The record is from RNAcentral.